GGAAAGAUACAGGUCGGAGCCGUCGAGGAGCCUCUUGGGGCAGGAACUGAUGGAGCUCUUCAGCAAUGGAGGAGGAGGCGGAGGGAGGGGCCUCACGAGCUCGAACUCCGGCGCGGGGAGGUUCCUCCAGGAGCUGAAGUCGCUGGCCUCGGGGGGGAUGGAGAAGUUGAGCUCCCUCCCCGUGAGCGCCGCCCACUUCUUCCUGUCGGCCUCUGAGAUGGUCGUGAGGAGGGGCUGCCUCACGAUCUCGAUUCCAUGGAGGCACUGCGGAUUGGAGAGCCCUCUGUAGUGCUUCCUCUGCAUCCGGUGGGACCUCACGAAGCCCUUGUCGGCGCUGAAGGGGAAGGGGGGCUCCCCUGGGCGGGAAUGGCCGUUCAUGUAGCUCCGCAGCUGCAUCUUCCCCAAGGCGUUCUCAGGGCGAUCCUUGAAGACCCACAUGUACAUGUUCUCCAUGUCGUGCUGCACCAGCAGGACGUCGUUGCGGAGGUCCGACUUGUCGAAGCCGGAGAUGCCGCCGGCGGCGUCCUGCGAGAUCUUCGCCUUGGACUUCUCCGAGAGGACGGGCUUGAAGUAGAAGGAGAAGAAGAACCAGGCGCCCCAGAUGCUGUCCACGCGCUUGGAGAUCUUGCGGGCGGCGCUGGCCGCCCUGGGGACGCUGAGGAAGGACUCCGUCUCGUAGAUCUGGUGGCCGGCGACGGCGACGGCGCCGCCGCCUGCGCCGGAGUCGAGGAUGUCGCACAGAUCCAGGUUCCACGCCGCGGGCGGCGGCGGGGAGGGCUCGCCGGAAAGGGGGAGGUUGAUGUCCGGGGGCCGCCGCUGCGGGAGCAUCAUUUCCCGGUCGCCGUCGUCGAGGCCGAGAAGGGUGAAGGGCUGGUGGCUGUUCUCCAUGGAGAGCGUGGUGAGGAGGGGCUCUGCCAUCUCUCUCUUCCCUCUCCCCCUUCUUCCUCUACCUCCGCCUGCUCCGCGCUGCUAUCUCCUGCAACUCCCACCGCAGUCGACGGCGACAUCCCAGAGGAUGCACUCACAGGACCAUUCCAUGGAACCAAGAGGCAUCGAGGAGCCCGCCCCACCCCCUCCCACCCCCCCCCACCCUCCCCCGGAGGAGACGAUGGAACGGCUGGAAAUCCCCCGCCUCAGAAGAAACCAGUGCCAAGAUCGACGCAGAAAUUCAUGAGAAAAUGAGAUGAUAAGGACUCGGGGCUGAAUCAAUGUCGGAUGGAAGAAGGAAUCUGACGCCGGUUGACCCCCCCUUUUUUCGACCCAACUCCGCCGCCGACGGGACGGUAAAGCCGAAUCGGCGCGAGCAGAUCCGUCUGAAAUCGCGUCUCUGGAGAGACAGCGAGGAACACGAUAGACCAGAGAGAGAGAGAGAUGUGGACGGGGCAAUAAUGGAGUAACCCUAACCCUAGAAGCCCCGUGGCCUUGCCCCUGCGGUCGCUGCCGUCAUCCUCAUCGCCAUGGAAUCUCCGCCCGUAUUUUAUUCUGGUCAGAGGGAGAAGAAGGCCACAAGGUCGGCGGUGUGAGUGAGGGGGGGGGAGAAAGAAGGUAGAAGACGACCACCAGUUCCCGAUCUUCGCUCCCUCUUCUCUUAUCACGAAGCACAAGUCGCCU
Molecule: long non-coding RNA, 1611 nt
Filed under: Spirodela polyrhiza (greater duckweed)
Lineage: Eukaryota; Viridiplantae; Streptophyta; Magnoliopsida; Alismatales; Araceae
Description: long non-coding RNA (SPOL_LNC001499)
Source: RNAcentral